AGAAUUCUACAGUCCGAAGAUCCAUCUAGGACUUCCGUAGUUAGGAGAGGACAGUGCUUGGCUUCAGAGCAUCAGCAGACAGGCUGACUCUUGUUAGGGGAUAAGGCACCUGUUGGCUUUAAGCUGAAGCCAGUGCUCAUUGACCAUUUGGGAAAUCCUAGGGCCGUUCAGAAUUAGGCGAAAUCUACUCUGCCUGUGCUUGAUAAAUGAAAUAAAAAGCCUGAAUGACAGCACACCUGUUUACAAACAUGGUUAACUGACUAUUUGAAGCCCACUGUUGAGAGAACUACUGCUCAGAAAAAAAUAUUCCUUUCAAAACAGUGCUGCUCAUUGACAAUAACCUAGUCGACCAAGAGCUCUAACAGGGAUGUGCAGUGAGG
Long non-coding RNA from Phyllostomus discolor (pale spear-nosed bat), 380 nucleotides. RefSeq lists it as uncharacterized. Lineage: Eukaryota; Metazoa; Chordata; Mammalia; Chiroptera; Phyllostomidae. The record is from RefSeq and is a predicted model, not a curated record. The transcript is spliced from 3 exons.